This 253-nucleotide ribosomal RNA is filed under the name uncultured bacterium. Its description in RNAcentral is "partial 16S ribosomal RNA". It matches the Rfam family "Bacterial small subunit ribosomal RNA", at positions 524 to 776 of the family's 1533-position model. The record is from RNAcentral.
UACGUAGGGGGCAAGCGUUGUCCGGAAUCAUUGGGCGUAAAGAGCGUGUAGGCGGCCAGAUAAGUCCGCUGUGAAAACUCGAGGCUCAACUUCGAGCUGUCGGCGGAAACUAUCUGGCUAGAGUCCGGAAGAGGAGAGUGGAAUUCCUGGUGUAGCGGUGAAAUGCGCAGAUAUCAGGAAGAACACGCGUGGCGAAGGCGGCUCUCUGGGACGGUACUGACGCUGAGACGCGAAAGCGUGGGGAGCGAACAGG